GCCAUUUUUACAUAUUUACUGUACUAAGCACAUAGUUGGUGGGGCUUUCUUGCUCCUUCUCUGUUAAACAAAACAAAGAUGGCUCGGCUUUUAGCUGUAGGUGGAAGCUGGACUCCUGGGAGGUUCGCAAAGACUUUCAGAAUGAGGUUAGGCUUUAACCAUCAUAGCUACAUUGUUGCUGAGGUAAUAGCUGCCUGCACUCGCCGAGAAUCAAGGUUCUUAAGUGGGAAACGGCAGAAAGCAAGGGCUGCACAAGCUGUACAACAAAACAUCCACACAUACACCUUCCGCUUUCAGUUGGUGUGACUCAUGAUUUAGAUGACUGAGUGAAAGGGAUACGUAUAAUAACACAUGAACCACAUAGCCUGCGUGUCCAAGCAAAUGGUAUUUCAGAACUUCCAGUGUCCCAGAGCCAACCUCAUUCCUACUGCUUUCAACACGAUGUGCCACUAUGUCCCAAGACUCAUAGAAGGCCCAAAGAGUGCUGUCAUGCGCGAGUUCUCAUCUUAUCUAGGAUGAAAUUUGUUCAAGAUAGGGAAACCUAUCUCAUGCACAUAAACAUUAAGAACAGUUUACUUAUCAGAUUACCUUAUGCAGAAUCUUGACUAAGAUAUCUGAAACUAAGUUCUCCGUACACAGAAGGUGUGUAAGGGUGAACAUAACGGAUCAGCUGACUAAGAGUGCCAAACAGCACUGUGCAAUUUUCUCCUUCUGACAUUGGCUAGCACUACAUUUACAGUAAGGCCUUGUUGGAGACGGAAGGCUGUACCUCUAGCUUACAGUAGCUCAUUUCUCCUUGGGUGGUCUUGGUGUUACCAAAAAAUGAAGAGAAUGGUACCAAAUAUGGGAAAGGGCCACAUGCAUGCAAGUUUAUACUUUCAAGCUUACCCUGGACUGCAUUAAGAGCAAUUUCAAAACAACUGAUUGAACUAAAAGUGUUCCAUUCCUUCAAACAUGGAUGCAAACUAUUCUCUUGAGAUAAUUAGCUCUGACAUUUCUCUUCCUAAGGACAACUGAAAGAAAGGCCUAAGGCUGAAGAGGAACUCUAAUACAACUAAAUUUCAGAAAAAUGCUGGCUAUGAAUUAUCCAAUUAAGGUUUAGGUGUUCAUGUUGUUCAGAAGACUGUUUGCUCUACAAAGAAAAGCCUCUUCAAAGAAGCACCACAGAAUCACUCACGUUGAUGUUAAACGCAUUUUGCGGAUACAGAGGUCUCCCGGUAGAAGACUAAUGUUCCCAACUCAACAAGGUUGUUGAUCAUCAGUAAGAAGAGCCAGCUGAAUAUUUAAAGCUUUGGAAAAAUAUAGUAAAGAGGAAGAGUUCCCAGAGCUCCAUCUAUUUAAUCUAUCAAAUUAAAGGUAAAAGUGUGGUUGUAGUCAUCGUUAUAUAAGAAAUAUAUAUUGUCAUAAUAUAUGAGAAAUAUAAUUUUCCUGUGGAGAGCUUCUUUACGUCUAUCUGACAAAAAUAAAUACUAAAAAAGAGUUGUGAUGUUUGAAACUGACAGAUGGGAAUCAGAGGAUAAAAUAUCUUUAAUAAUUGGACCCACAAUUACCAAGGAUUGCCAUGAAUUAUGCUUCCCUGGAAAUGUCUUAAAUCAAGAAUAGAUAUUACUUCAUAAGGUCUGAAUUGCUGAAAUGAGUUCUGCCUUUAACUCAUUUUAAUACUCCUGCUUUUUCAGUUUUUUCAUUCUUGAAGGUAAGUGUUACAGGUUGACUGCAAUGUUUUUGGCUAUUAAAUGCUUUUUUUCCUGUAGGACCUACUAGGAUUUUAAUAGUCUACCUACAGAAACAAAUAGCUAAAACAUUCCCUUUUCCUACUUAGGAAUCAAAACACAUGUGCACACAAUUAUCUCUAUUCAUUGAAGGUUAUGCUAGAUGUUUCACAAUUUUAAUUUAAAGUGUAUUAAACUUUUGCAUAUUGUUUACAAAUUAGGUUCUAUAAAACAUCCUGAAAAUGACAGUGAUUGAUGUGGAGUAACAUACACACAAUUAAUGCUGACUGAAUUGCUAAUUACAGGAUUGACAUCUCAUUUGCAGUGAGAUGCUGUAGAUCUUUUGGAGAAAGAAUUGGCAGUGUUGUCAUGUAAUUUCUCCAUUUCCUUAAGCUUGUAGUUUGAUGCCCUGUAGUUAAACCUUGACUAAAGAUUCAGCCUCACCUUCUAAAAGGUGCAAUGUAAGAAAAGCCUUAGGAUAAAAAGCAAAAUAGUCACCUCUACCCAAGAAUUAAAUCUCCCCUGAUAAUUUCUCCUAUCAAAGAGAUAAAUUGUGCCACAGUAUUGUUUAUUCUUACUUGUUUUACUAGUUUCACCAGCUUUCUUAUCCUUUCUGCUUUCUUUCCCUGACCUGCAGGGAAAGUAAACAGCGCUAUUACAGAGAUGAAUUUGGUAGGAAUUGCGGGAAUCUGGCUUGAAAGGAAAGUGCAUUUUAUUAAAUGAACCUUAGUAUCUGGAAAAGGUAAAUUUCAGAAUCUAUGCUGUGGAAUGCCCCUUAAAAAGAGAAGUAACAUAUAACAAAUGCUUGAGUUGGCAGAAACAGACUGACCAGUUGUGAUCUCACCGUUUGAGAGCAUCUGCUGGUCAAGUUAAUCCAGUUCUGUUGCCUGGCCACAUGGCACGAAGAUCAGUCGGGAUAUUCAACAACCAGAGCAGGAUUAUUUGUUGCAAGCCCUGUGUUACCCAAAUGCAGUAAAGCUUGUUUACUAGCAUGGAAAGUUCAGCUGUGGAAGCUCUACAAUGUCACCCAGACAAAAGGGAGAAGCUUGGCCAGUGUGACAGCAGGAUGCAAUUUACUUUUGGAGUGUCUACAAGAGGGGAACAAAACUACAGCUGCUCAUCUUUGAGAUGAUGAGUGACAUGACACUUUCAGUGCUGCUGGUUGCAUUUGGUUUUCUUCUAUUGCAAGUUGGGACCCUGAUAAGUUACUGAGAAAUCCUUACUUUACAAGAAGAUUGAAGAGAAACAAAAAGGCAUGACAAGAUCAUCAUUUAGACAAAACAACUGGGAGCCUUCAUGAAGGGAGCGCAACAGGGCUCUAGAAGCAACUCCCCCUCACGGUGUUACAGUGAACCUCUGGCUCUGGAGAGAGUUGUUUUCUGGGAAACAGCAAGCAGUGAUCGCUGUUGGAGGCAGUCUGCUUGACAAGCUAUUGUCACUGUCAGAUUCAAGGUAUCGGUCUCGGUGGUCUGAUCACCUCAGAUGUCGUCUGGUAACUAAAGUUACUUGCACCUUGAAUUCCAAUGGAAUGUAACUUCUACUGAUUUCAUCAGAGCAGAGUUUUGUUUUUCUCUGGGAAGCUAGAGAAAUGGAUGUAUUCUGAAGGAAAAAUACCUGCAUCUCAUAGCCGACGAAUGCAGAACCCGAGAAACCAGGAAGAGACUCGUUCGGUAAUGCAGAGGAAGAAUCGAGAACAGAGAUCAUACCUCAUGAAAUCCAGCUACUUCAAUGGCCUCCCAAGAUGGCACAAGCCACCUUCUCUGAGCACUUCUGAAUGGGAAGACUUCCUGUAGAAUCCUCUUGCACCGACUAGAAUUACACUUCUCCAUUACAUGUAAAAGCAAUGUAGGUAUUGAAGGAAGAUGUGACUUCUGGUGGAUAUUAACACAGGACAGGACCGAGCAUGUCAUCUGCAGAGCAUCUCCCUCCCAGGAGUCUGCGCCCUCUCCUGACCUGCUUCUCACAACAGCAAAUAAUGACAGCAUGGCAAACCUGGUUAGAACGAUAAAAAACAGUCCCAACCCUAUUCAACUACAGAUAAACACGGAGUUCAUUAAGACACUACAAGUUAGAGAGCAACUGUGGAAAAAUAUAUUCCUCGUGCCUUUGUUAUGCUGCUGGAGGGGCCCUAGUGUGCUGAUAGACGACGUAAGACAAUUACUGCAGCAGCAGUCCCAAGGACAGCAGAUUUACUGAGUGUGUGGACAGCAACUGUCGUGGGCAAGUGCUGCACAUGGGACACUCCCUGCAAGUAUUGAUUUACAGUGCGGAGACUGCUGCUGCCAGCACACUGCAUGUGCACCUGCUCCUUGCCACAAAGAGCUCACAGGCUAGGAGCAGGAUUAAUUGUUUAGUGCUAGGAAGGCAUCACACCCAAUGCCUUCAAAUUAAGCAUUAUCCCAGAGUGACUGCAGUAAUUACAGUAAGUAAAUCUACAAAAUAUUAUCAUGAGUAAUACUCGAUAGGGAACACUGAGUGGCAACUCUUACUCUUUGCUUUCUUAAUGGUUCUUGAUGCCUGAACGGCUUCCUUGAUACCAUGUAUAAAUUAAAAUUUUAGUAGAAUUCCCACCACUUCACUACCAUGUAAUUCUUGUCCGUAACCUCCCUGCUUUGUGUCAUUUCUGGCGAUUGCUUACCUCGUUGCUAAAAGAUCUGGUUUUGUUCUGAUUAAAUGAAAAAGUGGUGAAACACACUGAACUAGGUGAACUGUCAAACCCCUCUAAAACUUACAGUAUGAAAGUAUUCCCCAAAUAAGCAUUUCCCUAGGAGGAAGAGAACUGACAGACAACGUGAACAACAAAAUUCUUGAACACUACCCAGUUGAUGAGAGUCCAUUUAGGGCUAGUUUGUAUAAUUUGGCAUAACUGCAGUUAUAAACACUUGAAGAAGCCUUGGAAGCACAAACAUCACUGAAGCUUACAUUGGAUUGGAGAUCUCAUUGCAUUUGGCAGCUGUAUAAAGCUGUGGAGCAUGGAAAUUUGCUCAGAUGGAUCCUGAUUAUACAAACACAGGCCACAAGCUUUGAACACUCAAUACAAUUUUGUUGUGUACAGACAAGCUACCACGAAGACUCCCAAAGGCUUUUGUCUAGUCAACCAGCAUGAGGUACCUUAUCUGAAAAAAUGCAUUUUUCAAAAAGCUAUACAGUCUUCUAUCAACUUUCCUCAGACCACUGCCCCACCACAGACGAUCAUGGUACCUGUCAGAAUACAGAGUGUAUUUUGUAGGAAAACAAGAAAGUAUCCUCAUUCAAAUUUUAAGGUACAUAUCUGGAAUGCAAGGCAAAUACUGAUUUUUGUGCUGAUGAGGGUAAUUUAGAUCAGUUGGUUUACCCUGCUCUGGUUUGAAAGUCUCUCUGCUUCUCAUCUUUCUUACUCAAUUCUCCACUUGCACUGCUGUAUUUUCAGAAUUAUCUAUAGCAUAAGAUAUUAAUAAAAUUUCUGUCUGACCAGAAUAUCAGCAGAAGUCAAAGCAUGCUUGCAGACAAGAGAUGGUGCUAUAAACAGCCACAGCCAGCAUCUAUGUUUUAAUACUUAACAAACUUCAAGACUACAAUAAACAUCAAUACUUACAGUCCUGCUUAA
Molecule: long non-coding RNA, 5295 nt
Organism: Numida meleagris (helmeted guineafowl)
Lineage: Eukaryota; Metazoa; Chordata; Aves; Galliformes; Numididae
Exons: 16
Source: RefSeq, a predicted model, not a curated record